Molecule: ribosomal RNA, 449 nt
Filed under: uncultured Corynebacterium sp.
Lineage: Bacteria; Bacillati; Actinomycetota; Actinomycetes; Mycobacteriales; Corynebacteriaceae
Description: bacterial SSU rRNA
Rfam family: Bacterial small subunit ribosomal RNA
Source: RNAcentral
UCCUACGGGUGGCUGCAGUGGGGAAUAUUGCACAAUGGGCGGAAGCCUGAUGCAGCGACGCCGCGUGGGGGAUGACGGCCUUCGGGUUGUAAACUCCUUUCACCAUCGACGAAGGUUUUCUGACGGUAGAUGGAGAAGAAGCACCGGCUAACUACGUGCCAGCAGCCGCGGUAAUACGUAGGGUGCGAGCGUUGUCCGGAAUUACUGGGCGUAAAGAGCUCGUAGGUGGUUUGUCGCGUCGUCUGUGAAAUUCCGGGGCGUAACUCCGGGAUGGCAGGCUAUACGGGCAUAACUUGAGGACUGUAGGGGGGACGGGAAUUCCUGGUGUAGCGGUGAAAUGCGCAGAUAUCAGGAGGAACACCGGUGGCGAAGGCGGGUCUCUGGGCAGUAACUGACGCUGAGGAGCGAAAGCAUGGGUAGCGAACAGGAUUAGAUACCCGUGUAGUCCA